This 493-nucleotide ribosomal RNA is filed under the name uncultured bacterium. RNAcentral's name for it is "partial 16S ribosomal RNA". It matches the Rfam family "Bacterial small subunit ribosomal RNA", at positions 29 to 508 of the family's 1533-position model. The record is from RNAcentral.
AGUGAACGCUGGCGGUAGGCCUAACACAUGCAAGUCGAACGGCAGCACAGUAAGAGCUUGCUCUUACGGGUGGCGAGUGGCGGACGGGUGAGGAAUACAUCGGAAUCUACUUUUUCGUGGGGGAUAACGUAGGGAAACUUACGCUAAUACCGCAUACGACCUACGGGUGAAAGCAGGGGAUCUUCGGACCUUGCGCGAUUGAAUGAGCCGAUGUCGGAUUAGCUAGUUGGCGGGGUAAAGGCCCACCAAGGCGACGAUCCGUAGCUGGUCUGAGAGGAUGAUCAGCCACACUGGAACUGAGACACGGUCCAGACUCCUACGGGAGGCAGCAGUGGGGAUUAUUGGACAAUGGGCGCAAGCCUGAUCCAGCCAUACCGCGUGGGUGAAGAAGGCCUUCGGGUUGUAAAGCCCUUUUGUUGGGAAAGAAAAGCAGCAGGUUAAUACCCCGCUGUUCUGACGGUACCCAAAGAAUAAGCACCGGCUAACUUCGUGC